This 289-nucleotide ribosomal RNA is filed under the name uncultured bacterium. Its description in RNAcentral is "partial 16S ribosomal RNA". It matches the Rfam family "Bacterial small subunit ribosomal RNA", at positions 775 to 1066 of the family's 1533-position model. The record is from RNAcentral.
GGAUUAGAUACCCUGGUAGUCCACGCCCUAAACGAUGUCCGCUAGCUAUUGGAUUUUAAGGUUCAGUGGCGAAGCUAACGCGUUAAGCGGACCGCCUGGGGAGUACGGUCGCAAGAUUAAAACUCAAAGGAAUUGACGGGGACCCGCACAAGCGGUGGAUGAUGUGGUUUAAUUCGAUGCAACGCGAAAAACCUUACCUGCUCUUGACAUGUCUGGAAGCUUGUAGAGAUACGAGUGUGCCUUCGGGAACCAGGACACAGGUGUUGCAUGGCUGUCGUCAGCUCGUGCC